AGGAUGAACGCUGGCGGCGUGCCUAACACAUGCAAGUCGAACGUCCUGUCUCGCAAGAGGCAGGGAGUGGCGGACGGGUGAGUACCACGUGGGUCAUCUACCGUGAGGUGAGGAAUACCGGCGAGAAAUCGCCGACAAGACCGCAUAGGCUCGAUGCAAGUCGAGCAAAGCUCUUUCGAGAGAGGGAGCGCCACACGAGGAGCCUGCGCCCGAUUAGCUAGCUGGUGGAGUAACGGUUCACCAGGGCGACGAUCGGUAGCUGGUCUGAGAGGACGAUCAGCCACACUGGGAUUGAGAACGGCCCAGACUCCUACGGGGGGCAGCAGUGAGGAAUUUUCGUCAAUGGGGGCAACCCUGAACGAGUAACGCCGCGUGCAGGAAGAAGGUUUUCGGAUCGUAAACUGCUUUUCUCGGGGAAGAGAAUGGACGGUACCCGAGGAAUCAGCCCCGGCUAACUACGCGCCAGCAGCCGCGGU
Molecule: ribosomal RNA, 476 nt
Filed under: uncultured bacterium
Lineage: Bacteria
Description: SSU rRNA
Rfam family: Bacterial small subunit ribosomal RNA
Source: RNAcentral